CUGAUGAGUUGUUGCUGGUUCUCUAGGGAGCAUGUGCACACUUGUCGUUUUUAUAUCUCCACCUGUGCACUUUUUGUAGACCUGGACAUUUCUCUGAAUGCGCUGGCAUUCAGGUUUGAGGAUUGACCUUGCGGUCUCUCCUUAUAUUUCCAGGCCUAUGUUUCUUCAUACACCCCAUUGCAUGUUUAUAGAAUGUAAUAAAUGGGCCUUUGUGCCUAUAAACCUUAUACAACUUUCAGCAACGGAUCUCUUGGCUCUCGCAUCGAUGAAGAACGCAGCGAAAUGCGAUAAGUAAUGUGAAUUGCAGAAUUCAGUGAAUCAUCGAAUCUUUGAACGCACCUUGCGCUCCUUGGUAUUCCGAGGAGCAUGCCUGUUUGAGUGUCAUUAAUAUAUAUCAGCCUCUUCAGCUUUUGCUUGUUGAGUGUUGGAUGUGGGGGUCUUUUUCUGCUGGCCUUUCUCUGAGGUCAGCUCCCCUGAAAUGCAUUAGCGGAACAUUUUGUUGACCUGUUCAUUGGUGUGAUAACUAUCUACGCUAUUGACGUGAAGCAAGUUCAGCUUACUAACUGUCCAUUCAAUUGGACAAUUUUUCAUAAUGUGACCUCAAUACAGGUAGGA
RNAcentral lists this ribosomal RNA (615 nucleotides) under Protoglossum sp. Beever 996. RNAcentral's name for it is "eukaryotic LSU rRNA". The stretch from base 231 to 384 matches the Rfam family "5.8S ribosomal RNA". Lineage: Eukaryota; Fungi; Basidiomycota; Agaricomycetes; Agaricales; Cortinariaceae. The record is from RNAcentral.